AAGAUAUUUAGUCCAAACAAGACUAUUGAUUUCGACUCAAUAAAUUAUGGUGAAAGUCCAUAAAUAUCUU
This 70-nucleotide transfer RNA is filed under the name Hexanchus griseus. RNAcentral describes it as "tRNA-Arg". It matches the Rfam family "tRNA". From Rfam's summary of the family: Transfer RNA (tRNA) molecules are approximately 80 nucleotides in length. Their secondary structure includes four short double-helical elements and three loops (D, anti-codon, and T loops). The record is from RNAcentral. Lineage: Eukaryota; Metazoa; Chordata; Chondrichthyes; Hexanchiformes; Hexanchidae.